Molecule: transfer RNA, 84 nt
Filed under: Candidatus Cryptobacteroides intestinipullorum
Lineage: Bacteria; Pseudomonadati; Bacteroidota; Bacteroidia; Bacteroidales
Also listed under: 2 other names
Description: tRNA-Leu
Source: RNAcentral
GCGCAGGUGGCGAAAUUGGUAGACGCGCUACUCUCAGGAGGUAGUGCCAGAAAUGGUGUGGCAGUUCGACUCUGCUCCUGCGCA